CGGCGACUUUCUAGGAAGCGCCACUCGCUGGUGGGAAGUCGGCUCCGAGUCCCGCGGGGCCCCUCGCGCAUGCGUCCCCGAGCCUCGCGCGUUCAGAGGCGGCGACCUGGGCGGUGGCCGGCGCGUCCGCACAGCGGUGAUUUCGCAGGAAUUUGGAGACAGAAAUAGAUCACUCACUCUGAGGGAGGCCAGCUGUCACAUUGUGAGGAGUGGCCCACAUCGUGAGGAAAUGAAACCCCCGCCAACAGCCAUUUGAAUGAGUUUAGAAGUGCAUCCUCCAGCCCCCAGUCUAGCCAUCAGAUGACUACAGCCCAGGUCACAGACCCAAAGCCAACAGCUGAGCUGCUGUCAGAUUCCUGAUCUGCAGAAACUGUGUGAGGAAAAGAAAAGAAAUGAAAAAAAGAAAAAAGGAAAAGAAAGAAAAAAGAAUUGUUUGAAAAUUUGGAAAGGUGAGUACACUGAAGUAGAAUAAAAAAAUGAUGGAAGUUAAGUAGAAUUUGAAAAAAUUUACACAAAAGUAAAAAAUACAGUAAUAAAAAUUAAAGACAUAU
Panthera uncia (snow leopard) is the source of this 551-nucleotide long non-coding RNA. RefSeq lists it as uncharacterized. The transcript has 3 exons. The record is from RefSeq and is a predicted model, not a curated record. NCBI's taxonomy places the organism in Eukaryota, Metazoa, Chordata, Mammalia, Carnivora, Felidae.